CCCUAUGGGGUGCACCAUGUACGUCGUUCCUUUCAUCAUGGGUGUUCCCGGUUCGCCUUUCAGCAAGAUCGGCAUCGAACUGACUGACAGCAUCUAUGUAGUCUUGAACAUGCGCAUUAUGACCAGAAUGGGUCAGGUUGCGAUGGACGAACUAGGCGACUCUUCUGAUUUCACGAGGUGCCUGCACUCGAAGCACGAACUCGAUAUCGAUCGCCGGUUCAUAUGCCAGUUCCCCGAGGACAACACCAUCUGGAGCAUCGGCUCGGGUUACGGUGGAAAUGUACUUCUCGGUAAGAAGUGUCUUGCCUUGCGCAUAGCGAGCAAUCUAGGUCACAAAGAAGGCUGGAUGGCGGAGCACAUGCUCAUCCUCGGUCUUCAGAAUCCUCAGGGAGGGC
This 395-nucleotide ribosomal RNA is filed under the name uncultured prokaryote. RNAcentral describes it as "partial 16S ribosomal RNA". The record is from RNAcentral.